GCCUGUAGCAGUUUGCUCAGUGGAUUUGUGGAUUUUACCCAGUGAACUAUGGAGUUUGUUCCACCUAUCUGUAUCUCUGAAUUUGAACUCCAAUCUCAGAUUCAUAACUGAUGUAUCUCGAAGCGUGGGAAUUCACAGCACACAAAAUAUCCUCUUCUGCUCAACUGAUCCUCUGUUACUACUGACACUGACACAGGGCCGUUAUUUUUAUGCAGUCUGUAAAGGGAACUUAGGAGUGUGUCCAUCAAGGAGGAGUUACCUGUCUUCAUAACCAAGACGAGGACUGAGAGCUGAGAGGCUUCCCUCACUCAGUGCAGAGGUAAGGCUUACCUUGGCUUCCACAAGCUUCCCUUCAACCAGAAGAUAAUUUCAGAAUCUGGGUAGUAACUAGCACCCACCCACUGCUCACAAGACUUUUUUUCCAUGGAGAGAGUGUGAUGUGAAGCUUGGGAUACCUAUUGUACCUUCAGGAAUCACAGAUCCUGCCCCAGGGCAAAGGUGAGGAUGCCAAGAUGCAAACCAGAGCUGGCUGCAGAAUGAAGUGUAGGUAGCCUCAGUGGCAUGAUCUUUUAAUCCUGAUCAGGUAGCAGUUGAGUGAAAACUCCUCCUGUUUUGAUGUGAAGAGCACAGACCUUGUAUCCCACAAAUUGCUGUUGUGAUGAUUUUCUUUACAAGGAAAGACAUCACCUGGAGAAAUGCAGUCACUCAAGGAAGAAAAAUGCCAAGUCAUCUGAAGCUUUGUCUCUCCUGAUUGCAAUCAUAUUUUAUUCUCAAG
RNAcentral lists this long non-coding RNA (775 nucleotides) under Zonotrichia albicollis (white-throated sparrow). RNAcentral's name for it is "lncRNA (ENSZALG00000017013.1)". The record is from RNAcentral. Lineage: Eukaryota; Metazoa; Chordata; Aves; Passeriformes; Passerellidae.